RNAcentral lists this transfer RNA (77 nucleotides) under Alphaproteobacteria bacterium. RNAcentral's name for it is "tRNA-Arg". It matches the Rfam family "tRNA". From Rfam's summary of the family: Transfer RNA (tRNA) molecules are approximately 80 nucleotides in length. Lineage: Bacteria; Pseudomonadati; Pseudomonadota; Alphaproteobacteria. The record is from RNAcentral.
GGUUCCUUAGCUCAGCUGGAUAGAGCAACUGCCUUCUAAGCAGUAGGUCGCAGGUUCGAAUCCUGCAGGGACCACCA